This 391-nucleotide ribosomal RNA is filed under the name uncultured bacterium. RNAcentral describes it as "bacterial SSU rRNA". It matches the Rfam family "Bacterial small subunit ribosomal RNA", at positions 505 to 898 of the family's 1533-position model. The record is from RNAcentral.
GUGUCAGCAGCCGCGGUAAUACGGAGGAUGCAAGCGUUAUCCGGAUUUAUUGGGUUUAAAGGGUGCGUAGGCGGAUUAAUAAGUCAGUGGUGAAAACCUGCAGCUUAACUGUAGAACUGCCAUUGAUACUGUUAGUCUUGAGUACGGUCAAGGUAGGCGGAAUGUGUAAUGUAGCGGUGAAAUGCUUAGAUAUUACACAGAACACCAAUUGCGAAGGCAGCUUACUGGGCCACAACUGACGCUGAGGCACGAAAGCGUGGGGAGCGAACAGGAUUAGAUACCCUGGUAGUCCACGCCGUAAACGAUGAUCACUCGCUGUUGGCGAUACACAGUCAGCGGCUAAGCAAAAGCAUUAAGUGAUCCACCUGGGGAGUACGGCCGCAAGGCUGAA